This 28-nucleotide non-coding RNA is filed under the name Rattus norvegicus (Norway rat). The record is from RNAcentral. Lineage: Eukaryota; Metazoa; Chordata; Mammalia; Rodentia; Muridae.
UACUUUCCAAAGAGAUACGUGUAGUGCC